CACAAUUCUUGUACAGUUCAUCUAUAAAGUCAGUCGUAUCCCUACCGAUUAGGCAUGUGGUAGUAACCAUCUCGACAUCAGCUGUUUGUUAGACUACACAGGAUGAGUGACAGCAUGGCAUGAAGAUUCUUUGUGAUGCCCAUAUGUUGAUGCAGUUAUAAUAUUGCAGAACUUACCAGGUAGAUCAUCGGUGAUUGUAGCACGCAGUGGAGUAGAAGGUGGUGGAGAGCAGCUAGAGUCGACCUAACGGAGGAGGUAGCACGCAGUGGAGUAGAAGGUGGUGGAGAGCAGCUAGAGUCGACCUAACGGAGGAGGUAGCACGCAGUGGAGUAGAAGGUGGUGGAGAGCAGCUAGAGUCGACCUAACGGAGGAGGUAGCACGCAGUGGAGUAGAAGGUGGUGGAGUUGACGUAGGUGAGGAGGUUCCAGAUGAGCCUCCGAGCAGCGUCUCUUCCGGGUCCAUUGUAGUAUCUAUAAGAUGGUACAGCACAAAUAAUAAUAAAACGUUAUUUAUAGAGCACCUUUCAUGCAAAAGAAUGCAGCUCAAAGUGCUUUACAGCAAAUACGUGCGUAAUAACGUGCACAAAGAAAUUACCUGCACAUAAAAAUGGACAAAGAAACAUAAAAACUCAACUAUAGUGCAAAAACAAAUGUAGAAAGUACAGUUCAUG
Molecule: long non-coding RNA, 670 nt
Organism: Gasterosteus aculeatus aculeatus (three-spined stickleback)
Lineage: Eukaryota; Metazoa; Chordata; Actinopteri; Perciformes; Gasterosteidae
Source: Ensembl